GACGAACGCUGGCGGCGUGCUUAACACAUGCAAGUCGAACGGAAAGGCCCUGCUUUUGUGGGGUGCUCGAGUGGCGAACGGGUGAGUAACACGUGAGUAACCUGCCCUUGACUUUGGGAUAACUUAAGGAAACUGGAGCUAAUCCCGGAUAGGAGCUCCCGCCGCAUGGUGGGGGUUGGAAAGUUUCGGCGGUUGGGGAUGGACUCGCGGCUCAUCAGCUUGUUGGUGGGGUAGUGGCUUACCAAGGCCUUGACAGGUAGCCGGCCUGGGAGGGUGACAGGCCAAGUUGGAACGGAAAUGAGGCCCAGACUCGUACGGGAGGCGACGGAGCGGAAGGGUGCACAAGGGACGGAGGGCUGGUGCAGCACCGCCGCGUGGGGGAUGACGGCCUUCGGGUUGUAUACCACUUUCGCCUGUGACGAAGCGUGAGUGACAGUAAUGGGUAAAGAAGCACCGGCUAACUACGUG
Molecule: ribosomal RNA, 468 nt
Filed under: uncultured bacterium
Lineage: Bacteria
Description: partial 16S ribosomal RNA
Rfam family: Bacterial small subunit ribosomal RNA
Source: RNAcentral